This 74-nucleotide transfer RNA is filed under the name Gossypium hirsutum (cotton). It matches the Rfam family "tRNA". From Rfam's summary of the family: Transfer RNA (tRNA) molecules are approximately 80 nucleotides in length. Their secondary structure includes four short double-helical elements and three loops (D, anti-codon, and T loops). The record is from Rfam by way of RNAcentral. Lineage: Eukaryota; Viridiplantae; Streptophyta; Magnoliopsida; Malvales; Malvaceae.
GAGAUUGUAGUUCAAUUGGUCAGAGCACCGCCCUGUCAAGGCGGAAGCUGCGGGUUUGAGCCCUGUCAGUCUCG